CCUCCCCAAGAGCCGAGUUUGCGCUCCUCCCGGAAUCGUUUGAGAGAAGGACAAACUUUUGAGAGGAUGGAAAUCUAGAUGAGCCUGUCCGGAGCAGUUUGAGUCAGAGACCCAUUUCCUUGAGAUGGAGCCAAGCGAGUGCCCCCUCCCGCCUCCAGCACAGUCUCCCGCUCUUCUCCAGUUCCCAAAGGAGGGCAAGGAAAAGGCCCCUACUCUCCUCCCAGGGCUGAGAUUUCCUCCCCCACCCAAGAGAUGCCCCAGGAGGAAGGAAUGGAGAGGUUCUUCAAAGGGCAGUCAAGAGCAGAGGGAUUGAUGGACUGACAGCAGUUUGGCAAGGCUUCCCUAAGCCUGUAAUAGGGAGCUGUGGACCCAGUCCUGACUUCUCAAGUAGGGGGAAACAGCUCUAUUCCCGGGCCCUUGAGAUUGAGUCUCAAGUUGACAGGAGUUGAGAAAGAAAUGCAUGAAGGAUGGCUGGGCUUACGCAGGACAAAAACCUCUACUGGGGAGGGGCCAGUUUUGUGCCUUGUGCCUACUGCUGAGAGGGAAUUUAGAAACAAAGGAAGAUAAGAAGAAGGCCUAGGGAAACAGCAUAAAGGACUGGAAAAAUUCAGAACAGCAAAGAGAAAAAACUGGGAGAGAGGAAAAGAUGUGAAAAGGCCCUAAUGCUGGAGACAGAAAGGUAUUCUGGAAGGGUGGCUGGGAUAGAGAUAACAUGAAAGGAAUAUUGAUAAAGAGCAGAAGGAAGAAGCAGGACUAGGUUUGUUUGGGUUUUUAAGAUUAGAGAUAGUCUGGGGCCUGUUAAAAUAGAAAAUAGAAGAAAAAAGAUUAGAGAAAAGACAGAAAGGAAAAGAAAAGAAAAACAGGGAGAGAAACAGAAAGCAAAUGAAAGGAGAGAGCUAGAGAGUAAAAGAAAAAGGAAGGGAAAGAAAGGGAGGUAAAAGUGAGAAAAAAGAAAUGGAAGGGAGACAGAAAGACAGGUAGAAAAGGAGGAAAGACAGGGACAAGGGAAAGAAGCAAGGACAGGAGAAGGAAUGGAAGAAAAAGAGAAAGUGAAGGUAGGGCAGAAAUGAAGCAAAAGAAGGAAGGAAAAAUGAGAAAUGAAGAUACAGUGAGAUAAAGAAGGAAUAAGGGGAGUGAGGGGAAGGCGGGUAGAGAGAGAGAGAAAGAGAAACACGAACUCAACUAAGGUUAACGGUUAACAGAAAGGGGAUCCCGGUUCCUGAGGAGCACAGGGAGGAAAGAGGAGAUGGAGGGUGAGCAGAAAGGCCAGUUGGGGCCCCUCCCCGCCUCACCUUGGGCUGCGGAGGCCCUCACCACCACCACUCCGCCGUCUCUAGGGCCCAGACCUGGGUGAUGGCUGCCUGUGAACCGUGGGAGGUAGAGGCAGGGGCUGGCUGCCUGCAUACGGGCUUCUCUUCUCGAAGCAGCUGAGCGAGCUGGAGUUCUUCCUGCAGCCCUACCGGCCCCCGACACAGCACGCCAAGCUGGACACAUGGCGUUGAGGCUGUAUGACAUGCAGGUCCAGAUCUGGUUCCAAAAGGCGUGCAUGAAGUACAAGAGGCCAGUGAGGCAGGAAUUGUUCGUGGAUUCCCACCCUGGCGGCCCCUCUCCCGGGCUCAAUCCUCUCACCCAGGCUCAAUCCUCUCACUCGCAGCCCCAAGUGGCUCCAUUCCCACCCUACUGGCAGAGGCUGUCUGAAGACUGGGCAGCUUUGUUCCGGGCUCGGGGGUGCUCUGGUUCUGUGACCUUGGGCCUGUUUGAUCAUUUGUUGUUGUUGUUGUUGUUUGUUGUUUGUUGGUUUUUUUGGUUUGUUUGUUUGUUCGUUUUUAGAUGGAGUCUCACCCUGUCGCCCAGGCUGGAAUGCAGUAGCACGAUCUCAGCUCACUGCAGCCUUUACAUCGCCGGUUCAAGCCAUUCUCGUGCCUCAGCCUCCUGAGUAGCUGGGAUUACAGGCAUGUGCCACCACGCCCAGCUAAUUUUUGUAUUUUAAGUAGAGACGGGGUUUCGCCAUAUUGGCCAGGCUGGUCUCGAACUCCUGACCUCAAGUGAUCCGCCCACCUCAGCCUCCCAAAGUGCUGGGAUUACAGGCGUAAGCCACUGUGCCCGGCGAUCAUUUGUUAAAUGAGCCCUUUGCACUGGAGGGUUUUUCUGUACUUUUGGUUAGCCUGCCUGAGUAUGUGCAAAUGAGACAGGGAUGAAGACAAGACCUAGUCCACUUUGCAAGGGUGGGAGGGGAGUGUGAGGGUGUAGGGGUUGGGAGGAUGGGAGGCUGGGAGUGAGAUCUUCAUUUUCUUCCAUUGGUGAGAAGAAAAAUCUUCCUCCUUUGCUAUCCUUAUCUCCAACCCUGCCCCAGAAAACCACCUUUCAGGUCAAGGAGUUUCUCCAUGCCAGGAGGGUUUGGAUUCAUCUGCAAAGAGCUUGGGAGGAGGUUUGCAAAUCCAGGAAAAGCCAGAGAAAGGAUCUCAUACAUGAAAGGGAAGGAAGACAUUCCCUACCCAGAACACCCCUGAUUAGCCAGGCCCACCGCCAUCCACAUCUGCUCAGCAAAGAAGGAAGGCAGCUUGUUCCAGACCUUGGUGAGCAGCUGCAGACUGCCUGCCUAGAACAGCCUCCUUACUCCAGCCUGGCAGGGAAGGAAGGAACCUGACUUGCUUCGCAGGAUCUGGAAGCUCAGCCGGCAGAGCUGAGAGCCGCAGUUGCAUCCUGGAGCCUGAUGCUAGAAGCAGCUUCCGUCUUUGGGUUCUUGCUGCCUCGGCCUCUGCUCUGUUCAGUUUGCUGUUGUGUUUUUCUCCCCCAUGUUGGGGUGGUGGGGUACAGGGAAAUAAAAUGUUUUCUCCCAGGCCCCUAAUCCUUCCCCAUGCCUCCAUCAGCCUCAAAGCUGCUGACAGUCAUGAACUGCACCUUCCAGCCCUGCCCAUAAGCUACUCAAAGCAAAUUCAAAUUCUCUUCUGGCCAGGAGGAAGGGCAGAUGCUCCCUCCUUCCUCAAGCCUCCCUGGCUCAUUGAUCCAUUUUGAGGGCAUUUGGGGGUCAAAGUUGAGACCAGAUUGCUUCAGUUUGUAUAAAAUUAGCAUUUCUUAUCAUACCAAGGCCACACCUGUUCUCUGGCCUCACAAACCAGUGAGGAUGUAAAGGUUUGUUGAGGUGGAGGAACAGAAGUGAAAUGAGCAAUCUGCUCCAUUUAGAAGGCAGUCGCUUCAGCUGUUCAUUCCACUAAUAUUUAUCUAGUACCUACUCUGUGCCAAGCAUUGUCUCUACCUCAGUUUGCCACAAAUAUGAAAAAAAAAAAUUCUUGGAACUGUGAGGCUUCAAUGUGUUGUGGACCAAUAUACAAAUAAACCAAUGGAAAAGAAA
This is a long non-coding RNA of Pan troglodytes (chimpanzee), 3352 nucleotides long. RefSeq lists it as uncharacterized. NCBI's taxonomy places the organism in Eukaryota, Metazoa, Chordata, Mammalia, Primates, Hominidae. The transcript is spliced from 4 exons. The record is from RefSeq and is a predicted model, not a curated record.